RNAcentral lists this ribosomal RNA (443 nucleotides) under uncultured bacterium. RNAcentral's name for it is "partial 16S ribosomal RNA". It matches the Rfam family "Bacterial small subunit ribosomal RNA", at positions 338 to 795 of the family's 1533-position model. The record is from RNAcentral.
CCUACGGGGUGCAGCAGUGGGGGAUAUUGGACAAUGGGGGAAACCCUGAUCCAGCGACGCCGCGUGAGUGAAGAAGUAUUUCGGUAUGUAAAGCUCUGUCAGCAGGGAAGAAAGAAAUGACGGUACCUGACCAAGAAGCCCCGGCGAACUACGUGCCAGCAGCCGCGGGAAUACGUAGGGGGCAAGCGUUAUCCGGAAUUACUGGGUGUAAAGGGAGCGUAGGCGGUGAUGCAAGUCUGGAGGGAAAGGCGGGGGCCCAACCCCCGGACUGCUCUGGAAACUGUGUGACUUGAGUGCAGGAGAGGUAAGCGGAAUGCGUGGUGUAGCGGUGAAAUGCGUAGAUAUUAGGAAGAACACCAGGGGCGAAGGCGGCUUACUGGACUGUAACUGACGUUGAGGCUCGAAAGCGUGGGGAGCAAACAGGAUUAGAUACCCCUGUAGUC